CGUCCCAUCGAUCUGUUCGGCCAUCGCGCGCCUGCGCCUUUGGGCUGUCAGGCAGCGGCGGCGUGGGGAGCGUUGGGAGCGGUGGCGGCGCGCGACCCGAGCUUGUAAAAAUGGAAUUUCAAGCAGUGGUAAUGGCAGUUGGAGGGGGCUCUCGGAUGACAGACCUGACCUCCAGUGUUCCCAAACCUCUGCUUCCAGUUGGGAACAAACCUUUAAUAUGGUACCCAUUGAACCUGCUGGAACGCGUUGGAUUUGAAGAAGUCAUUGUCAUUACAACCAGGGAUGUCCAGAAGGCUCUAUGUGCAGACUUCAAGAUGAAAAUGAAGCUAGAUAUUGUGUGUAUUGCUGAUGACGCUGACAUAGGAACUGCAGAUUCUCUGCGCUACAUAUAUCAGAAACUUAAGACAGAUGUUUUGGUCCUGAGUUGUGAUCUGAUAACAGAUGUUGCCUUACAUGAGGUUGUGGACCUGUUUAGAGCUCAUGAUGCGACCCUCGCCAUGUUAAUGAGAAAAGGCCAAGACGGCUUGGAAUCAGUUCCAGGUCAAAAGGGGAAAAAAAAAGCAGUGGAGCAGCGUGACUUCGUUGGAGUGGACAGCACGGGAAAGAGGCUGCUCUUCAUGGCUAAUGAAGCAGACUUGGAUGAGGAGCUGGUCAUUAAGGGAGCCAUCCUGCAGAAGCACCCUCGGAUACGUUUCCACACGGGCCUCGUGGACGCGCACCUCUACUGCUUGAGAAGAUACGUCGUGGACUUCCUCAUGGAAUAUAAGUCAAUCACUUCCAUCCGGAGUGAACUGAUCCCAUACUUAGUGAGAAAACAGUUCUCCUCAGCUUCAUCACAACAAGGACAAGAAGAGAAAGAGGAGGAGCUAAAGAAAAAGGAGCUGAAGACUUUAGAUAUUUACAGCUUUAUAAAAGAAGUCGGGCCGCUGACCUUUGCUCUCCACGAUGCCUGCUGGAAUGCCUGUCGAGGAGACAGCCGGGAAGACUUGUCCAGAUCACAGGUGCGCUGCUAUGUCCACAUCAUGAAGGAGGGGCUCUGCUCUCGAGUGGGCACCCUAGGACUCUACAUGGAGGCAAACAGACAGGUGUCCAAAUUGCUACCUGUUAUCUGUCCAGAAGAAACACUGGUGCAUCCAUCAGCCCAGAUUGUCAGCAAACACCUGAUCGGAGCUGACAGCCUCAUUGGGCCAGAUACACAGGUUGGCGAGAAGUCCUCCGUUAAGCGCUCGGUCAUUGGGUCAUCCUGUGUCAUAAGAGAUAGAGUGACUGUCACCAACUCCCUUCUCAUGAACUCAGUCACCGUGGAGGAGGGAAGCAACAUCCAGGGCAGCGUCAUCUGCAACAACGCUGUGAUCGAGAAGGGAGCAGACAUCAAAGACUGCCUCAUUGGAAAUGGCCAGAGGAUUGAAGCGAAAGCUCAGCUAAUGAGAUUAUCUCUGGCAAAAGUCCUGGCAACCUCCUGCUCAGCCAGCUGAAAAGCUUGACCUCCUGCUCAGCUGAAAAGCCACAGCCAACAAGUCAAAGCCUGGGAGACUAAUUGGGCAUCUCAUCCGAGCGUCUCUCUGCUGUCAGUGAGGGAACCGGAUCUCUCUCCUGGACCACGGGGGUCACCCCUUUGGCCGUGCAAGUAGACCCGACGGGUACCCAGGUCCAGUCCUGGCUGCCCCACACUGCAGCUUUCCCCGUGUGCCUUGCCAUUCCCUCCUAUGUCGGUGGUUCCUCCCUUGCAGCCUUCCCUUUGGGGUCUCUCCUGGCCUGCUUCCCGCCCAGAACCUUUCCAGCGUGCUCACUGGCACCUGCUGCCAGCCCAGCCGGGCAGAGCUAGCACUGCUUGCUUUCCGCUGCAGCUGCCCCGCACCUUACGGAAUCACUGUGAAAACCCAUCUUCCCCAGAAAGCCAGAUAGAGGCCCUCUCCCCUCAGUCCCAGCGAGCAAGUCUUCUCCAACCCCCAGGCUGACAGCAGGCCAGAGGGCAGAGGACAGAGGGCGGAGGGCAAGCCAGAGGAGGGCAGGUAUUGAUGUGGCGCCUCGCAGAGCAGAAGGGGCUGUUGGCUCAGCCGGCGCCUCCUUCGCCCCGCUGGUCUGGCGCCUGAGGACCAAGAAGAGCGUUACCUGAAGCCGGGACGGUCCUCAGAGCAUCUUGGUAUCUGGAAACUCGGGGGAGAAGAGCAGGCGCCAGAGUCUAGAUAUGAGACGUUGGGGCCAGUUCACGGCUGCGAAGGGGAAAGGAGCGAGAGGAGCUUUUGGGGGGCCCUGGGACGCCAGCCAGACAACCGCUUCCUUCGUUCUCUUCUGGUCACUGUUCUCUUCCUCGGUGGAGCCUGGCUGGCAGUCACACUCCGGGAGCAGCCCCGGCGCGACCUCCUCUCUAGCUCGUAGUCCAUGGAAACUAACGCUCUUCUCACCGCUCACCCCUUCGUCAGUCAACUUCCAGGGCACACCCCCAAGUAUAUUGAGGGCUCACGGACUUCCCCGUUCCUCCCUCUUUUUUUCCAAAUACCUUAGGUUGAACGUAUUGGGAUGCCCUGUCCAGCCACACCACAGUUUUUCCCGUUGAUCUUUCUUUCGUCUUUGUCUUUUGUUUUGUUUCGUUUCGUUUUCGCUGCACCCAUGGCAAGUGCACGUGCCUGGGCCAGGGAUCAAAUCCCUGCCACAGCAACAACCAGAGCCGCUGCGGUGACAAUGCUGGACCCUUCACCCACUGCGCCACCAGGGAACGCCACACGUUUGUCUUCACUCCUGUGGCUCCAGCAGCCUGGAAUGCCUUCCCUUUGAUACACUGCCUGAAAAAGCUCUUUUCGUCCUCACGUCUCGGUUCCCGUUCCCUCCUGUGUGAAGCCUCCUGAAAGCCAGCCAGACGAGUGAACGAAGUAGUCGUGGGGAGCGACCAUCUCAUGGAGAUCUGAGUUCCGAGCAAGUCACACUUCUUCCUCUUGGCCCUGGAACUGCAGGUGUUGGCUGGCCCACCUCUUUGAUUCUGUAUUUAUUUCCCAAUAAAAGAAGGGCUCCCAGAGGCGUGCUGGAGA
Molecule: non-coding RNA, 3026 nt
Organism: Sus scrofa (pig)
Lineage: Eukaryota; Metazoa; Chordata; Mammalia; Artiodactyla; Suidae
Source: RefSeq, a predicted model, not a curated record